RNAcentral lists this ribosomal RNA (238 nucleotides) under uncultured Streptococcus sp. RNAcentral's name for it is "partial 16S ribosomal RNA". It matches the Rfam family "Bacterial small subunit ribosomal RNA", at positions 1136 to 1382 of the family's 1533-position model. Lineage: Bacteria; Bacillati; Bacillota; Bacilli; Lactobacillales; Streptococcaceae. The record is from RNAcentral.
CACUCUAGCGAGAUGCGUAAUAACGGAGAGUGGGAUGACGUCAAAUCAUCAUGCCCCGUAUGACCUGGGCUACACACGUGCUACAAUGGUUGGUACAACGAGUUGCGAGUCGGUGACGGCGAGCUAAUCUCUUAAAGCCAAUCUCAGUUCGGAUUGUAGGCUGCAACUCGCCUACAUGAAGUCGGAAUCGCUAGUAAUCGCGGAUCAGCACGCCGCGGUGAAUACGUUCCCGGGCCUU